UAAUUAUGUAUAAUUGUGUAUACUUGUGUAUAAUCAUGUAUAAUUCUGUAUAACUAUGAGAAUACCCACAAAUAUAUAUGGUUAUACAUGAUUAUACAAAGUAUAUAUAUAUAUAUAUAUAUGUAUUACAAAUAUUAAGUAUUAAUUAAGAGGUUUAGUGAUAAAAUCUAAUUGAAAAUCAGUAUUUCUAUAAGUUCCCACUAUUUUAGUAUGAUCCCACCAUUUUAAGGGAAAUAUUGCAUGCAUAAAUGGAACACUUAAAAUAAUUGGACAGGAAAUAUCUUCUACAAUCAUAAAACUUUGUGGCAAACAAAUUCCAUUGUUACACAGGAAAUACUUGGCUCUGAUACCAAGUAUUGAGCAAGACCUUUUUAGGGCUGUAGGGCCUUUUACAAAGCUGAGAUUUAUUCAGUUUAAUCUAUUUUAUGCAAAUCGCGAAUUAAUCGUUAUAAACCCGACCGGGAACAUCCCUAGGCGAUACAACCUGCCAUAUAGGACUUACCAACGGAAUUACAAGGUUUAUACCCAAUUUAAUUCAUCACUAACCAUGUCGGGAAAACCUCUUUUAGGGCUUACCAACGCCAUGAUUUAAGCUUAGUUUGCUAUAAAAUCUUAAACUAAACCCAUGCUAACACCUUAACCCCUUCAAGGCAAGCUCUUAUUUUAGAGUCAUUUUGCUAUAAAAUCAUAAACUAAGCCCAUGCUAAAACCUUAACCCCUUCAAGGCAAGCUCUUAUUUUAGAGUCAUCGCCUUUUAAGAACAUCCUCAAGCUAUAUUAGUUAUUAUCCAACACUUAAGAACUUAGCCCAUCAUUGGGCUUACCGUAAUAAUAAAAUUUAAAUAUGAAUAAAAUUUAAAAGAAAUAAAGAAAUAAAUACCUGGCCACCAGGGAAAUAUGUAGAAAUCUUUUACUUGAUUUUUAUAAUAAGAAACUUAUAUUACAAGAGAAAAGAGAGAUGGGAGAUCUUAAGGAGAGAGAGAUGUUUGGAGAAGAGAGAUG
This 1001-nucleotide long non-coding RNA is filed under the name Nicotiana benthamiana. RNAcentral describes it as "long non-coding RNA (NBEN_LNC008738)". The record is from RNAcentral. Lineage: Eukaryota; Viridiplantae; Streptophyta; Magnoliopsida; Solanales; Solanaceae.